Molecule: non-coding RNA, 58 nt
Organism: Aedes albopictus (Asian tiger mosquito)
Lineage: Eukaryota; Metazoa; Arthropoda; Insecta; Diptera; Culicidae
Source: Rfam
UAGCCUAGUGGUGAAGGCUAUGGAUCGCUAAUCCGGAGACGGCGGGUUCAAUUCUCGU